AGCAGCCGCGGUAAUUCCAGCUCCAAUAGCGUAUAUUAAAGUUGUUGCAGUUAAAAAGCUCGUAGUUGAAUUUCGGGAUCAAGUCGUCGGUCGUGCCUCGGUACGCACUGGUGACAUUGGUUUCUCCCUUCUGAAGAACCUUGAUGUCAUUAAUUUGGUGUUUUGGGGAAUCAGGACUGUUACUUUGAAAAAAUUAGAGUGUUUAAAGCAGGCUCACGCUUGAAUACAUUAGCAUGGAAUAAUGAAAUAGGACGUUUGAUUCUAUUUUGUUGGUUUCUAGGAUCGACGUAAUGAUUAAUAGGGAUAGUUGGGGGCAUUAGUAUUCAAUUGUCAGAGGUGAAAUUCUUGGAUUUAUUGAAGCCUAACUACUGCGAAAGCAUUUGCCAAGGAUGUUUUCAUUAAUCAAGAACGAAAGUUAGGGGAUCGAAGACGAUCAAAUACCGUCGUAGUCUUAACCAUAAACUAUGCCGACUAGGGAUCGGAUGAUGUUAAUUUUUUAAUGACUCAUUCGGCGCCUUAC
This 520-nucleotide ribosomal RNA is filed under the name uncultured Glomeromycotina. Its description in RNAcentral is "SSU rRNA". It matches the Rfam family "Eukaryotic small subunit ribosomal RNA", at positions 569 to 1091 of the family's 1831-position model. Lineage: Eukaryota; Fungi; Glomeromycota. The record is from RNAcentral.